Molecule: ribosomal RNA, 310 nt
Filed under: uncultured bacterium
Lineage: Bacteria
Description: partial 16S ribosomal RNA
Rfam family: Bacterial small subunit ribosomal RNA
Source: RNAcentral
AAGAGAAAGCAGCAGCCACGGUAAUACGGAGGGUGCAAGCGUUAAUCGGAAUUACUGGGCGUAAAGCGCACACAGGCGGUCUGACAAGUCAGAUGUGAAAUCCCCGGGCUUAACCUGGGAACUGCAUUUGAAACUGUCAGGCUGGAGUCUUGUAGAGGGGGGUAGAAUUCCAGGUGUAGCGGUGAAAUGCGUAGAGAUCUGGAGGAAUACCGGUGGCGAAGGCGGCCCCCUGGACAAAGACUGACGCUCAGGUGCGAAAGCGUGGGGAGCAAACAGGAUUAGAUACCCCUGUAGUUCCUGUCUCUUAUAC